This 237-nucleotide ribosomal RNA is filed under the name uncultured bacterium. Its description in RNAcentral is "partial 16S ribosomal RNA". It matches the Rfam family "Bacterial small subunit ribosomal RNA", at positions 540 to 776 of the family's 1533-position model. The record is from RNAcentral.
GUUGUUCGGAGUUACUGGGCGUAAAGAGUGCGUAGGUUGUGCCCUCAGUCUGUUGUGAAAUCUCCCGGCUUAACUGGGAGGGUGCGGUGGAAACUGGGGUGCUUGAGUGUGGGAGAGGUAAGCGGAAUUCCUGGUGUAGCGAUGAAAUGCGUAGAUAUCAGGAGGAACACCGGUGGUGUAGACGGCUUACUGGACCACGACUGACACUGAGGCACGAAAGCGUGGGUAGCAAACAGG